Molecule: transfer RNA, 62 nt
Filed under: Tigriopus japonicus
Lineage: Eukaryota; Metazoa; Arthropoda; Copepoda; Harpacticoida; Harpacticidae
Description: tRNA-His
Source: RNAcentral
ACUUGCUUAGUUUAUUUAGAAUAGAAGUUUGUGGUAUUUCAGGAGGUAGUUACCAGCGAGUA